UCUCCUCUUUCUUAAUCUAUAAUAAUAAUGUUUAACCUAGCUGUCACAAGAAAUGUUCAAAUGAAUCUUGGAAAUACCCUGCAUGAUAACCUGCCUGAAGAUCAACAAAUUUCGACAUUAGUUUCUCUUACAUGUGCCUUAAAAAUAUAACUGUGUAGGCGAUUUUAAAUAAUUGGUAAGGAGUGAUGAUGAUUCAAAAACCACAAACUAGGCAGAAAAUCUGGUGCAUUUAUUGAAAACAAAGUAGAGAAGUUUCAGUUUGUCACUCUUAUGGACGCGCUCGGAUGGUUCGUAAUUGGCUCAGAAGGAUAUGCAGUAAGAGCCGAGUCGGACGACGAGAAUUUUGUCAUUUACCUCACUGAUAUGACUUCAAUUUGGUGUGAACGACAAACAGCUACUGAGAUUAUGAAACGGUGUCAGGAAUUAAACCCUUUAAUCGAGUCGACAGUAAAACAUCUGAUCCAACAACUUCGCACAUUGCUAAAUAGCUAUUCGCAGAGUAAUAGUCUAACGAUAGUUUCAGUUGAUCAAAACAUCACGUUGAAACUAGAAUCUCACUUGGACGGUAAUCUACCCUUUUCUUGGGAAUUUCAUUUGACUUUGGAAACCGCUGAUCAGUUUCAAUCUUUUAUAAUUCGUCCAUUGUUGGCAAUGCUUAAAGAAGCAGCUUGCGUUGAAGAAGAGCUUUGCAACAUCAUCCGAAGCAAAGAUAAGCAAAUUGACGACUACAAAGCUUCAGGUGCAACCGUAUCCCGCCGUCACUUGGAAACCAAAGAAUUCAAUGCGGAAACAUUCUUCGCUUCACGUAUAACGCGCACUAUUGAAGAGAGCGCCAAAGAAAAAAUUACAUCUCUGUUCUGUAGAGUUGUUGAUAGAUUAAAACAGUUGUAUUCGGUUGCUGUCGAAAGGAUUUAUUUCCAAAGUUCAAUAGCACGUCGCUCAGCUUUAACUGUUUCAGACGUAUCUGCCGAAUUGACAGAAGAGAUUCCGAACAGAGGACAAACUUCAACACAAUCACCAGCCAAAGUUAAAAGCCAAAUUAAAACCAUUAAAAUCAUCAUGAUUCCAACACAUUAUUUUUGUUCCAGGAGAGUGAAGAGAGUCGAUCAGAAGCCAUUAAAAAGCGAUUACGUGAAGAAGAACAGAAAGAGAUGGCCAAAAGAGCUAAAAAGGCGUGUUCAGCAAAAAUAUUGUAAAAUUCCUGCAUCUUACUCUUUGACACAGAUUUGGUUAACAGAAAUAGCAGAUCUAAUCUAGCAAUUCACAUCUAACAAGAGAUGUACGCUCAAGAUUUUCUGGGAGUGGAGUACUAAAGCGAGUGACCAUCGACGUAGUAAUUCACGUGCUGUCGACGACCGUCAGGCUGAGAUAAUUCGUUUUCAAGAAAUUGAACCUUCUUCAUCCCCUUAAACCGAAUCAAAGAACUGCAAUGUCCCAAAGGGUAUUCUCUUUAGCAGAUGACUUCCCCUUGGCGUCUAAUCUUAGGAAUCAGAAAGUAUAAUUGCAUUUCUAAAUGUCAAAAUAUAUACGUGUACUUGCGGACCCGCCCAAUUUGGCAUAUUAAUAGAGCUUUCUCCCAAGAGUUUGUAUGGAUUAAUCAGCUGG
RNAcentral lists this unclassified non-coding RNA (1605 nucleotides) under Daphnia pulicaria. RNAcentral describes it as "non-homologous end-joining factor 1-like, transcript variant X3". The record is from RNAcentral. Lineage: Eukaryota; Metazoa; Arthropoda; Branchiopoda; Diplostraca; Daphniidae.